CUCGUGGCCAUGGACGGGAGGGGACGGGUCAGCGCUACUCCUUCAAGCUGGUCCUCAAAUCUGGUGUUCCUGGUGGCUGUGUGAGAAGAAGGGGAAGAAGAAGAGUAGAGGAGUAUGGUAUCAGACGCCGAGGAUGCUGAGGCCGUAUAGAAGUGGGGACGAGACUUGUGAAGAAAUACGUGGAACAAACAAUCGGAGGAGGCAAGAGACCACCAAUGAUCAGCUGUCCGUCCCAGCGUAGCCCCAGCAUCAGUUAGCCCAGUAGAACGCCUCCAGCAGGACUAUACACCGCCACAGGAAGACGGAGAAGGCUCGGUGGAACUAGACAGAGUACGUCAUUGCUGCCGCUGACGAUGAUGCUGAAGAGGAGAAAGAAGAGGAGGACGAGGAGAACGACUAGUAAGGGGAGGAGGAAGAGAAACUCGGCGUCUCCUCUAUCGCUCCCCCGGCGAGGCUCAGCUGCACUUCCCAAACGAGCGACGGAGAAAGAUUUGUUAUCAGUCUCUCGUCUUAAGUGUGUGUCGAAUCUUCGCCCCGCCCCCCGAGCUUGAGGUGUGAGUUCCUGCACCGUGAGGCUGAACCGUGCGCUGCCGCCGACUUCUGGGAGAGGAUGAAGCAUGGUAUUAGCCAGGG
Molecule: long non-coding RNA, 633 nt
Organism: Eriocheir sinensis (Chinese mitten crab)
Lineage: Eukaryota; Metazoa; Arthropoda; Malacostraca; Decapoda; Varunidae
Exons: 4
Source: RefSeq, a predicted model, not a curated record